Molecule: ribosomal RNA, 442 nt
Filed under: uncultured bacterium
Lineage: Bacteria
Description: partial 16S ribosomal RNA
Rfam family: Bacterial small subunit ribosomal RNA
Source: RNAcentral
CCUACGGGUGGCAGCAGUGGGGAAUAUUGGGCAAUGGGCGCAAGCCUGACCCAGCAACGCCGCGUGAAGGAAGAAGGCUUUCGGGUUGUAAACUUCUUUUGUCAGGGAAGAGUAGAAGACGGUACCUGACGAAUAAGCCACGGCUAACUACGUGCCAGCAGCCGCGGUAAUACGUAGGUGGCAGGCGUUGUCCGGAUUUGCUGGGUGUAAAGGGCGUGUAGACGUGUUGACAAGUCAGAUGUGAAAUCCUGCUGCGUAACCGGAGUACUGCAUUUGAAACUGUUGAUCUUGAGUACUGGAGAGGCAGACGGAAUGCGUAGUGUAGCGGUGAAAUGCGUAGAUAUUAGGCGGAACACCAGUGGCGAAGGCGGUCUGCUGGACAGCAACUGACGGUGAGGCGCGAAAGCGUGGGGAGCAAACAGGAUUAGAUACCCGGGUAGUC